Molecule: small RNA, 802 nt
Filed under: Pan troglodytes (chimpanzee)
Lineage: Eukaryota; Metazoa; Chordata; Mammalia; Primates; Hominidae
Description: retained intron
Source: RNAcentral
AUAGUACAUAGCUGAUGCCAUGCUCCUGGCCAGUGCUGGAGUAGUCUGGUCUCAUCUCCCCACCUUGUCUUGUGUUUUUGUUUUCCAGCCAUUAAUGGGUUUCUGUUCUCUAACCUGCCCAGGCUGGACAUGUGCAAGGGUGACACAGUGGCCUGGCACCUGCUCGGCCUGGGCACAGAGACUGAUGUGCAUGGAGUCAUGUUCCAGGGCAACACUGUGCAGCUUCAGGGCAUGAGGAAGGGUGCAGCUAUGCUCUUUCCUCAUACCUUUGUCAUGGCCAUCAUGCAGCCUGACAACCUUGGGACAUUUGAGAUUUAUUGCCAGGCAGGCAGCCAUCGAGAAGCAGGGAUGAGGGCAAUCUAUAAUGUCUCCCAGUGUCCUGGCCACCAAGCCACCCCUCGCCAACGCUACCAAGCUGCAAGAAUCUACUAUAUCAUGGCAGAAGAAGUAGAGUGGGACUAUUGCCCUGACCGGAGCUGGGAACGGGAAUGGCACAACCAGUCUGAGAAGGACAGUUACGGUUACAUUUUCCUGAGCAACAAGGAUGGGCUCCUGGGUUCCAGAUACAAGAAAGCUGUAUUCAGGGAAUACACUGAUGGUACAUUCAGGAUCCCUCGGCCAAGGACUGGACCAGAAGAACACUUGGGAAUCUUGGGUCCACUUAUCAAAGGUGAAGUUGGUGAUAUCCUGACUGUGGUAUUCAAGAAUAAUGCCAGCCGCCCCUACUCUGUGCAUGCUCAUGGAGUGCUAGAAUCUACUACUGGCUGGCCACUGGCUGCUGAGCCUGGUGAGUGGGGACACU